Long non-coding RNA from Homo sapiens (human), 815 nucleotides. RefSeq annotates it as LRFN2 antisense RNA 1. The record is from RefSeq and is a predicted model, not a curated record. NCBI's taxonomy places the organism in Eukaryota, Metazoa, Chordata, Mammalia, Primates, Hominidae. The transcript has 3 exons.
GGGCAGGGGGAGGGGCUGGGGAGGCCAGCCCAAGCUGCAUGGCACUUCCCAGCAGUUGCAGGAAAAUUAAAUGUGGUUUUCCUCAUCAUCGUGAACAACAGGGGUACAGGAAAACUGGGGGAUAAUGUCCCCAUUAGCCUGUUUUCUUAGCACACAGAGGGAGAGAUUUUAAAAAUAAAAUAAAACUACAUCCCAAUUUGAUGCCCUAACCUACCAAAACAAAACACAUGCAGAUUUUAAAAUGUAGAAAAAUCCCAUCAGAGUCAAUUCAGUUAUCCCCCUGCCUCUAACAGGUGUCCCAUAACCAGGACAGAUCACCUGGAUGCCUGCCUGCCCUGAUAACUGAUGUUGAAGGUCAGUUGACCCAUCUCACCUCCUCCAGGAAGCCUCGCUGCUCCAGCCCUCCCACACUGCCAGGCCUCCAACCACCAGCCCUGGCUCUUACAACCUGGACAAUCUUGCUUUUUUCUGGCCCUGGAACUUUGCCCGCAAGACCACGCCUCAGGGUGGAAAAUGAAAGAUGCUUAAGGUCACUGCCCCUCCUGUUCUGUACACAAGCCUAAGCUCGGGAGGAAAUAAUUUGAGGUAUCUGGAAGAAGCAGAGAGAGCAGGGCAGCUCUGAAGUCACUGCGAGGCUGUGAGAGGUCAGCCAGCGCUUCAAAGGACCCCAGGACCUUUGCAUAACCCUGGACUGAAUGGGAAGGGAAAGUCCCAGUCAUGACAGAAACGGAAUUUCCCACCAACUCAGUAGGAGGUUUGGGGUUCAGGGUCAGUUUCAUGGCAGUGCAAACAAAAUAAAGAAAAUGUGAUAUUUA